This 30-nucleotide non-coding RNA is filed under the name Mus musculus (house mouse). Lineage: Eukaryota; Metazoa; Chordata; Mammalia; Rodentia; Muridae. The record is from RNAcentral.
UCCAUUCUACAACUGCCCCAAGUUUUGUGU